GCCUGCGGCUUAAUUUGACUCAACACGGGAAAACUUACCCGGCCCGGACACUGGAAGGAUUGACAGAUUAAGAGCUCUUUCUUGAUUCAGUGGAUGGUGGUGCAUGGCCGUUCUUAGUUGGUGGAGCGAUUUGUCUGGUUAAUUCCGAUAACGAACGAGACUCUAGCCUACUAAAUAGACGAACGAUCACUGGAGUCGUUCGAUCUUCUUAGAGGGACAAGCGGCUUUUAGCCGCACGAGACAGAGCAAUAACAGGUCUGUGAUGCCCUUAGAUGUCCGGGGCCGCACGCGCGCUACACUGAAGGAAUCAGCGUGCGUUUACCCCUGUCCGGCAGGACUGGGUAACCCGAUCAACCUCCUUCGUGAUAGGGAUAGGGGCUUGUAAUUCUUGCCCUUGAACGAGGAAUUCCCAGUAAGCACGAGUCAUAAGCUCGUGUUGAUUACGUCCCUGCCCUUUGUACACACCGCCCGUCGCUACUACCGAUUGAAUGAUUUAGUGAGGUCUUCGGACUGGCGCUCGGAGCGGCCUUACUGGUCGCGCCGGCGUGCCGGAAAGAUGACCGAACUUGAUUAUUUAGAGGAAGUAAAAGUCGUAACAAGGUUUCCGUAGGUGAACCUGCGGAAGGAUCAUUACCGAUUCGGCGAGGCCGAGAGCCUUGUCCGGUCAUAAUACAUGCAGACAGAGCAAUAGACCGGUUGGGGGUGUCUGUUCCCGCGGCAUUGUGCCCUGGCGCGAAGCGUCUUGGCGUCGCGGGGGUGUCCGUCCUACACAAGAGGACAGACGCUAGGCGUAAGAGCAACCGCCACCCCCGGAGAGACGGGACGCCGAGUGCGUGCCCGAACGGACGAGUCGUAGCCCAGUGCUUCGUCGUCCGAAAGAAAAGUAACUAUGACGAGAGAGAAGUAACUAUGACGAAACAGGGGUAGCUGGCCCGACUCGGACCGGGUUAAGUCCGAGAAAGAGAGUCUAUUAGACUCUCCAAGUAUCAAAUGCCUCGUCAUCUAAUUGACGCAAAAGUCGGACAAAGUCCGGCCCAGAGAGGAGAGGAACGGCGGGAUUUAUGAGAGAGAAUAGGAGCGAUAAAAAGGCGGAGGGGCGGCGCCUUAUGAGAGAGAGGAGGAGAGAGAAAUUCCCCGCUAUGGCGGGGAAAAAGAAACAGGGGUAACUGGCCCGACUCGGACCGGGUAAAGUCCGAGAAAUAUAGAGCGUCUACGGACGCUCGAGAAACUUCUACGGGAGUUUUCUCUUUAAAAUACCACUACUUCAAUAACAAGCGUCUACGGACGCUCGAGAAACUUCUACGGGAGUUUUCUCUUUAAAGAAAUGCCUCAUACUCGUCAUCUAAAAUUGUCGGACAAAGUCCGAGAAAUAUACAGCGUCUACGGACGCUUGGUACAUGUGCUUAAACAUAUAAAAGCGUCUACGGACGCUCGAGAAACUUCUACGGGAGUUUUCUCUUUAAAAUACCACUACUUCAAUAACAAGCGUCUACGGACGCUCGAGAAACUUCUACGGGAGUUUUCUCUUUAAAGAAAUGCCUCAUACUCGUCAUCUAAAAUUGUCGGACAAAGUCCGAGAAAUAUACAGCGUCUACGGACGCUUGGUACAUGUGCUUAAACAUAUAAAAGCGUCUACGGACGCUCGAGAAACUUCUACGGGAGUUUUCUCUUAAAACAAAUGCCUCAAACUCGUCAUCUAAAAUUGUCGGACAAAGUCCGAGAAAUAUACGGCGUCUACGGACGCUCGAGAAACUUCUACGGGAGUUUUCUCUUAAAACAAAUGCCUCGAACUCGUCAUCUAAAAUUGUCGGACAAAGUCCGAAAUAAUAACAAAUGCCUCGGCAUCUAUGUUGUCGGACAAAGUCCGAGAGACCAGUCUCUGAAAUAGCAAAUGCCUCGGCUUAAUUAAAAGGAGAGUAACUAUGACACGGAGAGCAGUGACGGGCCACCGCCCGGCGACGAGGGGCCAGGCGGCCGAUGGAGGCCAACCCGCGUGGACCACUAUAGCCGGUUCCGCCUCCGCAGAAAAGGGUGAAGUCCGAAGUGGUCUAGGACGAUCCCAAGAGGCCGCCACGGGUUUCCGAGAAGCCGGCACCGGCUGCGGUUGCUGUAUCUCUCCGAGACAAUGUAGGUAAGGCUCUAAAUGAGACGGCAAUACUAUAAAGAGGAUCUCUCCAAGCUCUUUUUUGCCGUCUAAGUAAAUAAAAUGGCAAGGUUAUAAAGAGGAUCUCUCCAAGCUCUUUCUUGCCAAAUAUAAAGUUACUCUCCCAGUGAACCAAUGUAGGAAGUUGAGGACUGGCUCUCUCGGAGUGUACGCAAUGUAGGUAAGAGAUGGGCGCCUACUCUCGGGGUCUCGGCCCCGGGGUGUGCCUUCGCCGUCGGCGGAGGUGCUAGGCGUAACGAGUCGAAAGGCCGGCCCGAAACUUUGAAACUCUGUAACUAUGACAUAGAGCUAAUAAUAAGUACAACUCGAAGUGGUGGAUCACUCGGCUCACGGGUCGAUGAAGAACGCAGCCAGCUGCGAGACUUGGUGUGAAUUGCAGGACACAAGUCCGAAGUGGUCUAGGACGAUCCCAAGAGGCCGCCACGGGUUUCCGAGAAGCCGGCACCGGCUGCGGUUGCUGUAUCUCUCCGAGACAAUGUAGGUAAGGCUCUAAAUGAGACGGCAAUACUAUAAAGAGGAUCUCUCCAAGCUCUUUUUUGCCGUCUAAGUAAAUAAAAUGGCAAGGUUAUAAAGAGGAUCUCUCCAAGCUCUUUCUUGCCAAAUAUAAAGUUACUCUCCCAGUGAACCAAUGUAGGAAGUUGAGGACUGGCUCUCUCGGAGUGUACGCAAUGUAGGUAAGAGAUGGGCGCCUACUCUCGGGGUCUCGGCCCCGGGGUGUGCCUUCGCCGUCGGCGGAGGUGCUAGGCGUAACGAGUCGAAAGGCCGGCCCGAAACUUUGAAACUCUGUAACUAUGACAUAGAGCUAAUAAUAAGUACAACUCGAAGUGGUGGAUCACUCGGCUCACGGGUCGAUGAAGAACGCAGCCAGCUGCGAGACUUGGUGUGAAUUGCAGGACAC
RNAcentral lists this ribosomal RNA (3062 nucleotides) under Androctonus crassicauda. Its description in RNAcentral is "bacterial SSU rRNA". The stretch from base 1 to 633 matches the Rfam family "Eukaryotic small subunit ribosomal RNA", at positions 1181 to 1831 of the family's 1831-position model. The record is from RNAcentral. Lineage: Eukaryota; Metazoa; Arthropoda; Arachnida; Scorpiones; Buthidae.